GAUUCUGGCUCAGGAUGAACGCUAGCUACAGGCUUAACACAUGCAAGUCGAGGGGCAGCAUUGGGAUAGCUUGCUAUCCAGAUGGCGACCGGCGCACGGGUGAGUAACGCGUAUCCAACCUUCCCUAUAGUAGAGAAUAGCCCGGCGAAAGUCGGAUUAAUGCUCUAUGUUGUGUUUUUGAGGACAUCUGACGAACACCAAAGGUUCACCGCUAUAGGAUGGGGAUGCGUCUGAUUAGCUUGUUGGCGGGUAACGGCCCACCAAGGCGACGAUCAGUAGGGGUUCUGAGAGGAAGGUCCCCCACAUUGGUACUGAGACACGGACCAAACUCCUACGGGAGGCAGCAGUGAGGAAUAUUGGUCAAUGGGCGAGAGCCUGAACCAGCCAAGUAGCGUGCCAGGACGACUGCCCUAUGGGUUGUAAACUGCUUUUAUCAGGGAAUAAAGUGCGGCACGUGUGCCGUUUUGUAUGUACCUGAUGAAUAAGGACCGGCUAAUUCCGUGCCAGCCGCGGC
This 514-nucleotide ribosomal RNA is filed under the name uncultured bacterium. RNAcentral describes it as "bacterial SSU rRNA". It matches the Rfam family "Bacterial small subunit ribosomal RNA", at positions 15 to 518 of the family's 1533-position model. The record is from RNAcentral.